This 475-nucleotide ribosomal RNA is filed under the name Tantilla melanocephala (black-headed snake). RNAcentral describes it as "partial 16S ribosomal RNA". It matches the Rfam family "Bacterial large subunit ribosomal RNA", at positions 1911 to 2604 of the family's 2925-position model. Lineage: Eukaryota; Metazoa; Chordata; Lepidosauria; Squamata; Colubridae. The record is from RNAcentral.
AGUGAACAAUUAAACGGCCGCGGUACCCUAACCGUGCAAAGGUAGCAUAAUCAUUUGUCUACUAAUUAUAGACCUGUAUGAAAGGCAAAAUGAGGGUCCAACUGUCUCUUAUAAUAAAUCAAUUAAACUGAUCCCCUAGUAAAAAAGCUAGAAUCCUAACACAAGACCAGAAGACCCUGUGAAGCUUAAACUAAACUAUUAAACCUUAUAAUAACUAAUUUCGGUUGGGGCGACCUUGGAAAAAAAAAGAACUUCCAACAUAUGACUUCCAAAUACAAAUUCUUAGGCCAACAAGCCACCUAACGACCCAGCUAUGCUGAUAAACGAAACAGUUACUCCAGGGAUAACAGCGCAAUCUUCUUUAAGAGCCCAUAUCAAAAAGAAGGUUUACGACCUCGAUGUUGGAUCAGGACAUCCUAAUGGUGCAGAAGCUAUUAAGGGUUCGUUUGUUCAACGAUUAAUAGUCCUACGUGAU